AUGGCGUCCUCAUUUUGGACCUGUGGUGUGUCCCACGGUGUACCUUUUUGCCCCACUUCCAGUGGCAAGAGGGACUGGGCGAAAGAGUCUUUGUUAGCAGUUGUCGCAGAGACUUACCAGAGCGCUUGCUUCAGGGGGCUUAAACUGAAGCACGCUGUGCCAGCCACCUUGGUGUUGAACAGUUCAUCUGACAGGCACGUCCCUGGCGGCCUGGAGCGCUUCUAGGGCGGGGGGGGGGGGGGGGGGGGGGCUCCACGCACUGCGGCCCUUCCAAGUAGGUGACCUCAUCUUCUCCUGCCCAUCCUACGUCUGUAUGCUUACUGUGGGCGAGCGGGGCCACCACUGCGAGUGCUGCUUCGCCAGGAAAGAAGGAUGGUCAAAAUGUGGACGGUGCAAGCAGGCAUUCUACUGCGACCUGGAAUGUCAGAAAGAAGACUGGCCUCUGCACAAGUUGGAAUGCUUGUCCAUGGUUGUUUUUGGAGAGAACUGGAGUCCUUCAGAGACUGUGCCACUCACAGCAAGGAUUCUGGCCAAACAGAAAAUCCACCCAGAGAGGACACCUUCAGAGAAACUGUUGGCUGUGAGGGAGUUUGAGUCACAUCUGGACAAGCUAGAUAAUGAGAAGAAGGAUCUCAUCCAGAGUGACAUCGAGGCUCUCCGUCAGUUCUACUCCAAGCACCUGGAAUUCCCUGACCACAGCAGUCUUGUGGUGCUCUUCGCCCAGGUGAACUGUAAUGGCUUCACUAUUGAAGAUGAAGCGCUCACUCAUUUGGGAUCAGCGAUAUUUCCUGAUGUUGCAUUGAUGCAUUACAACUGCUGCCCGAAUGUCAUUGUGACCUACAAAGGGACCCUGGCAGAAGUCAGAGCUGUACAGGAAGGAGAUCCACCCGGGAGACAAGGUGUUCACCAGCUAUAUCGAUCUGCUGUAUCCAACAGAAGACAGAAACGACUGGCUAAGAGACUUGUAUUUCUUUACCUGUGAGUGCCAGGAGUGUACAACCAAGGACAAGGACAAAGCCAAGGUGGAAAUCCGAAAGCUCAGCCGCCCACCACAGGCAGAAGCCGUCAGAGACAUGGUCAGAUAUGCUCGCAGUGUCAUCAAGGAGUUCCGAAGGGCCAAGCACUACAAAUCCCUGAGUAAACUGCUGCAGAUCUGUGAGCUCAGCCAGGAGAAGGUGAGCUCUGUGUUCGAGGACAGCAAUGUGUACAUGCUGCACAUGGUGUACCAGGCCAUGGGUGUCUGCCUGUACACACAGGACUGGGAAGGAGACCUGAGAUACGGGCAGAAGAUCAUCAAGCCGUACAGUAAGCACUAUCCUGUGUACUCCCUCAAUGUGGCCUCCCUGUGGCUGAAACUGGGAAGACUGUACAUGGGUCUGAAGAACAGGGCUCGGGAGAGAAAGCCUUCAAGACGGCCAUUGGCAUCAUGGAAGUAGCUCACGGCAAGGACCAUCCGUACAUCUCUACGAUCAAGCAGGAAAUUGAGAGCCACUGACUGUGCAUCCCAGCUCUCCAUCAGAAACCUCACAGGACUUGAAUAUUUCCAACCUCACGGGUCACCCCAGCCUUCUGCAAAGCCUUGCCGAGCUGUGUUUCAGGUCCACACUCAGUUCUGACCUUAAGUUCAUUUCCAGUGCUUGUCUUUUCUCUAAGGGCCAUGGCAUGAUUUCACAUAAUAUAUAUUUUGGGCAGAUUGAGCUUUGAAAAAAAUGCAACGAUUUUCCCUCUGUGCCUGUUGGAACGCUCUGCAGAGCUGACCAAGGAGAGAAUAAAAACACCAGUCCUUGAAAAAAAAAA
Mastomys coucha (southern multimammate mouse) is the source of this 1797-nucleotide RNA transcript. It is a transcript of the gene named N-lysine methyltransferase SMYD2 pseudogene, with no coding region annotated. The transcript has 3 exons. The record is from RefSeq and is a predicted model, not a curated record. Lineage: Eukaryota; Metazoa; Chordata; Mammalia; Rodentia; Muridae.